AACCUCCUGGGAUCGCCUCUGAGGAGCGGCUAGUAUUCUGUCAGCUUUGGAAAUGGAAGGAAAAGCAAACCUGGCAGGUAUAUCCCUUCCAUUCCCAGCUUGCACAGUAGCCGAUGAUUGGAAGAUGCUGUGCAACGGUG
This is a small nucleolar RNA of Tupaia belangeri (northern tree shrew), 140 nucleotides long. NCBI's taxonomy places the organism in Eukaryota, Metazoa, Chordata, Mammalia, Scandentia, Tupaiidae. The record is from Ensembl.